UCUUAGGAUAUGUAAAAUUCUUUCACCGGGGACGAUAAUGACGGUACCCGGAGAAGAAGCCCCGGCUAACUUCGUGCCAGCAGCCGCGGUAAUACGAAGGGGGCUAGCGUUGCUCGGAAUUACUGGGCGUAAAGGGAGCGUAGGCGGACUGUUUAGUCAGAGGUGAAAGCCCAGGGCUCAACCUUGGAAUUGCCUUUGAUACUGGCAGUCUUGAGUACGGAAGAGGUAUGUGGAACUCCGAGUGUAGAGGUGAAAUUCGUAGAUAUUCGGAAGAACACCAGUGGCGAAGGCGACAUACUGGUCCGUUACUGACGCUGAGGCUCGAAAGCGUGGGGAGCAAACAGGAUUAGAUACCCUGGUAGUCCACGCCGUAAACGAUGAGUGCUAGUUGUCGGCAUGCAUGCAUGUCGGUGACGCAGCUAACGCAUUAAGCACUCCGCCUGGGG
This 446-nucleotide ribosomal RNA is filed under the name Caulobacter sp. RNAcentral's name for it is "bacterial SSU rRNA". It matches the Rfam family "Bacterial small subunit ribosomal RNA", at positions 414 to 878 of the family's 1533-position model. The record is from RNAcentral. Lineage: Bacteria; Pseudomonadati; Pseudomonadota; Alphaproteobacteria; Caulobacterales; Caulobacteraceae.